UACAGAGGGGGCAAGCGUUGUUCGGAAUCACUGGGCUUAAAGGGCGCGUAGGCGGGCUGCCGCGUCCGGGGUGAAAUCCCACGGCUCAACCGUGGAACGGCCCCGGGUACGGGCGGCCUCGAGGGGGGUAGGGGCGUGCGGAACUGUGGGUGGAGCGGUGAAAUGCGUUGAUAUCCACAGGAACUCCGGUGGCGAAGGCGGCACGCUGGACCCCUUCUGACGCUGAGGCGCGAAAGCCAGGGGAGCGAACGGG
This 253-nucleotide ribosomal RNA is filed under the name uncultured bacterium. Its description in RNAcentral is "partial 16S ribosomal RNA". It matches the Rfam family "Bacterial small subunit ribosomal RNA", at positions 524 to 776 of the family's 1533-position model. The record is from RNAcentral.